RNAcentral lists this transfer RNA (77 nucleotides) under Candidatus Pelagibacteraceae bacterium. Its description in RNAcentral is "tRNA-His". It matches the Rfam family "tRNA". Rfam says of the family: Transfer RNA (tRNA) molecules are approximately 80 nucleotides in length. Their secondary structure includes four short double-helical elements and three loops (D, anti-codon, and T loops). The record is from RNAcentral. RNAcentral also lists the same sequence under 1 other name. Lineage: Bacteria; Pseudomonadati; Pseudomonadota; Alphaproteobacteria; Candidatus Pelagibacterales; Candidatus Pelagibacteraceae.
GCAGCUGUAGCUCAGUUGGUUAGAGCGCCUGGUUGUGGUCCAGGAGGCCGGUGGUUCAAAUCCUCCCAGCUGUACCA